GACGUAGGGGGCGAGCGUUGUCCGGAUUUAUUGGGCGUAAAGAGCGCGUAGGCGGCCCGUUAAGUCGGAUGUGAAAACCCGUGGCUCAACCACGGGCCUGCAUCCGAUACUGGCGGGCUCGAGGCAGGCAGGGGAGAUCGGAAUUCCUGGUGUAGCGGUGAAAUGCGUAGAUAUCUGGAGGAACACCGGUGGCGAAGGCGGCAUCCUGGACCGGCAUUGACGCUGAGGAGCGAAAGCCAGGGGAGCAAACGGG
Molecule: ribosomal RNA, 253 nt
Filed under: uncultured bacterium
Lineage: Bacteria
Description: partial 16S ribosomal RNA
Rfam family: Bacterial small subunit ribosomal RNA
Source: RNAcentral